GUAGAGAUCUGGAGGAAUACCGAUGGCGAAGGCAGCCAUCUGGCCUAAUACUGACACUGAGGUGCGAAAGCAUGGGGAGCAAACAGGAUUAGAUACCCUGGUAGUCCAUGCCGUAAACGAUGUCUACUAGCCGUUGGGGCCUUUGAGGCUUUAGUGGCGCAGCUAACGCGAUAAGUAGACCGCCUGGGGAGUACGGUCGCAAGACUAAAACUCAAAUGAAUUGACGGGGGCCCGCACAAGCGGUGGAGCAUGUGGUUUAAUUCGAUGCAACGCGAAGAACCUUACCUGGUCUUGACAUAGUAAGAACUUUCCAGAGAUGGAUUGGUGCCUUCGGGAACUUACAUACAGGUGCUGCAUGGCUGUCGUCAGCUCGUGUCGUGAGAUGUUGGGUUAAGUCCCGCAACGAGCGCAACCCUUUUCCUUAUUUGCCAGCGGGUUAAGCCGGGAACUUUAAGGAUACUGCCAGUGACAAACUGGAGGAAGGCGGGGACGACGUCAAGUCAUCAUGGCCCUUACGGCCAGGGCUACACACGUGCUACAAUGGUCGGUACAAAGGGUUGCUACCUCGCGAGAGGAUGCUAAUCUCAAAAAGCCGAUCGUAGUCCGGAUUGGAGUCUGCAACUCGACUCCAUGAAGCCGGAGUCGCUAGUAAUCGCGGAUCAGAAUGCCGCGGUGAAUACGUUCCCGGGCCUUGUACACACCGCCCGU
This 708-nucleotide ribosomal RNA is filed under the name uncultured Acinetobacter sp. Its description in RNAcentral is "bacterial SSU rRNA". It matches the Rfam family "Bacterial small subunit ribosomal RNA", at positions 690 to 1397 of the family's 1533-position model. The record is from RNAcentral. Lineage: Bacteria; Pseudomonadati; Pseudomonadota; Gammaproteobacteria; Moraxellales; Moraxellaceae.